Long non-coding RNA from Phyllopteryx taeniolatus (common seadragon), 3757 nucleotides. RefSeq lists it as uncharacterized. The record is from RefSeq and is a predicted model, not a curated record. NCBI's taxonomy places the organism in Eukaryota, Metazoa, Chordata, Actinopteri, Syngnathiformes, Syngnathidae. The transcript has 3 exons.
UCUGAAUAUGUUCUUCAGAUGGUACAAGGCAGUUUGAGGAAUUGAUUUGAUAUAACUGUUGAAAGUCAGGUCGGAAUCUAUCAGUACACCAAGGUUUUGGACUUGGCCUUUGGUUUUUAAACAGACUGACUCCAGGUAUUACUAACAGCAAUCCUCUUUUCUUUAUUGCCAAAAACAUUUAUCUCAGUUUUGUUGUGGUUUAAAUGAAGAAAAUUUUGGCUCAUCCAGUUAUUUAUCUGUUUUAAACAGUGACACAAGACCUCAAUUGAACUGUAGUCAUCUGGAGACACUGCUAGAUAUAACUGUGUGUCAUCUGCAUAGCUAUGAUAGUCAAAAUUAAAGUUCUGAAGAAUUUGACUCAAGGGUAGCAUAUACAGGCUGAACAGGAGGGGUCCAAGAACUGACCCUUGAGGGACCCCAUAGGUCAUUGCCAUUCGAUGAGAUUGAACACUUCCAAUGGUUACAAAAUAACUCCUUUCCUCCAGGUAGGAAUGAUCUACCGUAUCAAAAGCUGCUCUGAGAUCCAACAAGACGAGAAUUUACACCUUUCCCAAGUCAGUAUUCAACCUUACGUCAUUUAGCGCUUUGAUAAGAGUAGAUUCUGUUAUGUGAUGAGUUCAGAAACCUGAUUGAAAUUUGUCAAAAAGUCCAUUUAAAUUCAAGAAAUUGCAGAGUCGAUUAAAAAUAAUCUCAGCAAUCUUGGCUAUGAAAGGGAGAUUUUAGAUGGGUCUAUAGCUUGCUAACAUGGAAGUGUCCAUUGUUAAAAAAUUUUUUAGAAGAGGCUUAAUGGCAGCUACUUUAAGAGCUUUAGGAAACUCCCCUGGCUGAAGUGAGCAAAUGAUUAUUUGCUGCAAAUCAGCUAGCACAGACUUUGCAAUAGCUUUGAAAAAGUCAGAUGGUAUUGAGUCAAGACAGCUCGUUGAUGGUUUCAGCUGCUGAACUUUUUUCGAUUGUUGUUUUUUUUUUUGUCAACUGUAUCAAAUUCUGACAUGGUAAUAGAGUUUUUCCUGGGUGGCUUCAGAUGUAGCAUUAUUUUAUCAUUUUGCUGAUUUGUGCUGGAUUGUAUUUUUUCACUAAAAUAACUGUCAUGGGCGGCACAGUGGACGACUGGUUAGAGCGUCAGCCUCACAGUUCUGAGGACCCGGGUUCAAUCCCCGGCCCCGCCUGUGUGGAGUUUGCAUGUUCUCCCCGUGCCUGCGUGGGUUUUCUCCGGGCACUCCGGUUCCCUCCCACAUCCCAAAAACAUGCAUGAUUUGGAGACUCUAAAUUGCCCGUAGGCAUGACUGUGAGUGCGAAUGGUUGUUUGUUCCUAUGUGCCCUGCGAUUGGCUGGCAACCAGUUCAGGGUGUACCCCGCCUCCUGCCCGAUGACAGCUGGGAUAGACUCAAGCACGCCCGCGACCCUAGUGAGGAAAAGCGGCUCAGAAAAUGGAUGGAUGGAUGGAUAACUGUCAUGGGUGUGUGUUCCGGUUGUUGUUUUCCCCCUCUCUCGUACACACCUGCUCCUGAGAGCAUCUUCACCACCUGUGCCUCAUUCACCCUAAUUAUCCCUUGCAUUUAAGUUCGUAUCUCAUUCUUUUUAGUGGCCAGUUCGUUGUACCUUGUCGUCGCGUUCCAGCAUUCCUUGUUUCCACAUCACAAACUCACAGUAAGACGAGACCCUCUUCCGAUUAUCGACCUCGCCUGUUUGCCUCACGUUUUUGGAUACUGUUGCCUUUUUUGGAUUGCCUGCCUGUGUACCUGACCUCUGUCCGUAUAUUAAACUUCUCUUUUUGAAACUGUCCAUUUGUUUUGCAGUCGUGCAUUUUUGGGUCCGAUCCUCUGUUUCGUUCAUGACAGAACGAACUGACCAGCCUUGGUGACCAGGCAAACCAAGGCAGAUCCCCUGUUUCCGGUCUCAAUCCACUGGCUAGCGUCACCACAGAUAAACCCAUGCAACUGGGCAGGUUCAACAGGGAAGGGUGGUGCUUCUACUGCGGGCAGUUGGGUCUUUUCGUGAGCAACUGCCACGUCAAGGUUGCCGGUGCCGGUAGCAAGGGCACGGGAGCGGUGAGUCUAAAUUUCAUUAAGGAAGACCCUACCCGGGUUCUUCCUAAAGUGACACUAUGGUCUCCUGAUCGAGAAAUUCAACACCUGUAUUAAUUGUCUCUGGUUCUGACGCAAACCUACUCAACUCCCUCCUCAUAAGACGGAUGCACCUUAGAAACUUUCAAAUAAAACGCCACCGCAACACCUAUGCUGCAGACGGCAGAUUUAUGGGCAAGAUCACUCACCGCACUCAAACACUCACAUUGACUGAUUCUCACUCGGAACGCAUUCGUUUUCAUGUUUUUGAUGCCAUGAAUCAUGACCUUAUUUUAGGGAACCCAUGGUUGAAACUACAUAACCCCCACAUUUACUGGUCCUCUGGGCAGAUUAUGUCAUGGGGCAGCAAUUAUGCCCAGAACUGUUUCAAGCCUCCAUGCGAUGUUCAGGGCUAUGUUUCAAAUGUCAAUCCACAGACCCUAUCUGGGGAUCCUGACUUAUCUCAAGUGCCCACCUGUUACCAGGACAUUAAAGAUGUUUUUUCCAAGUCCAAGGCCAAAUCGCUUCCACCCCACAGACCUUAUGACUGUGCAGUUAACUUGCUGCCUGGAACCACACCCCCACGAGGGAGGUCUCUUUCAGGGCCGGAACACAAGGCUAUGAAGGAGUAUGUGGAUGAAUCACUGGCAGCCGAGAUUAUUCACCCAUCUUCUUCCCCUGCGGGAGCCGGAUUUUCUUUGUGGACAAGAAGGAUAAGACUCUGCGAUCCUGUAUCGAUUACCGGGGUCUCAACGACAUAACUGUGAAAAACAGUUACUGCAGAAUGAACUAUAUGUCAAGGCUGAGAAAUGUGAGUUCCACAAGGCAUCCGUUUCUUUUCUGGCGUUCCUGCUGGCUCCAGGUGAAAUCAAGAUGGACCCUUGCAAAGUUGAUGCUGUGACUAAUUGGCCCACAACCACGUCACGCAAAGGCGUACAAAGGUGUAGCAGACAUGCCAUGCAAAAGAUGCCACCCGGCACCCCAGCCUCGCACUACCGCCGUUCCCCGCUGAGGUAGGCUGGCGAGACACAGACUCUAAACGGAUCAAGACAAACAUUUGCUUUGCCAUGCCGACGCUAAGUGAAUCACGGCUGCCUGGAGCUUCAAACCGGAGACCCAAGGAUGCCGUGUUCGCCCCCGGACGCUAAGUUAAUUAACUCCCCGGCAGUCAAAGGAUUGCACCAACAAAGGCGCCUCCACCCUGUUGAAUAUUGCCACUUGGGAGUUGGAACAGGCAACAGCGACACCCACGGGCGACGGAACGAGACUACAGACAUGGGUUCAUAAGACAGUCUGUGACUCGACUAGGAGUUAAUAUUUUAAGAACUUUACAUGAACACCACUAGUGACUGUAUUGCUGCAAACUCGAAUGUCUAACGUCGAAUAUGUUGUUAACUGAACCAGAUGAAAUGUUCCACACCACACCACAAAUGUCACAUGGAAAAUAGUAAUGUUCUCCACACCACACAACAUUUGAAACAUUCAUUACAUGUUUGAAAGAGGAUGAGCGUGGAACAAUGCAGGGUGAGGAAAUGGUCUCGUUAUCUUAAAACCAAUAAUCAAUAUUUCAAUCCACUGGUUUUAAACUACAAAAUAAUCCUAAAAUGGAAAAAUAAAAAGGCAGUUCAGCCCUUGGUGUUGGCGAAGGUGGGAGAAAAGGGGUUGUUCAAAUCCAUCCAUCCAUCCAUUUUCUG